RNAcentral lists this ribosomal RNA (972 nucleotides) under Triticum aestivum (bread wheat). RNAcentral's name for it is "partial small subunit ribosomal RNA". Lineage: Eukaryota; Viridiplantae; Streptophyta; Magnoliopsida; Poales; Poaceae. The record is from RNAcentral.
AUGCCGCUGGACGCGAUCUUCGCCGUCUUCCACAAACUCGACCACAUCGACAUCCUGAUGGCCGCUGACCAGGUGUGCAGCUCCUGGCGCCGCGCGGCGCGGGACGAGCCCGCGCUAUGGCGCCGCAUCGUCAUGCGCGGCAACGCGGAUCUCUACUCCCGCAUCAACCGCCAGGGGAUCGCCUGCGACGCUGUGCGGCGCAGCGCGGGGCAGUGCGAGGCAUUCUGCGGCGAGUACGCCGGCGACGCCGGUUUCCUGUUGUACCUCAGCGAGCAGGCUCCCUGUUUGAAGAGCCUUCGCCUCAUCUCAUGCGAUGACAUCUCACUUACCGAGUUUGCAGAGCUAAUAAGAAGGUUUCCUCUGCUCGAGGAGCUCGAGCUAUCUGAGUGUCCAGAGCUACUAGUGGAUUGGUCUCGCUCUCUAUAUCCUGAGGUAUACGAGGUUCUUGGGCAAGCAUGCCCACAGCUGAAGCAUUUCAGGAUGAACAAACAAUACUUCGACGAGCAGAAAUGGGGCAACAAUGACACCGAUGCCGAGGGGAUUGCAGCCAUGCAUGAGCUGCGCUCACUGCAGCUCGUGGCCAACGACCUCACCAACAAAGGGCUGGCAGCCAUCUUGGAGAACUGCCCGCGCCUGGAGUCCCUGGACAUACGCCAUUGCUUCAAUGUCAAAAUGGACGACGACGAUGGCGGCGGCGAGGACCACGACGGCACGCUGCUGCGAGAGAAGUGCGCCCGUAUCAAAACGCUGCGACUUCCCGGCGACUCGACCCAUGACUACCAUCUCGAGGUUCAAAGCCCUAGGUUCGCUUGCAAGGAGCGUGGCUGGUCCAUCAGUCCGGUCUACUACUCCCCGUGGCUCCAGGAAUCGGAGGAAGACGACGACGAUUUUUACCGUAGUCCUUCCCGUUACGAGGCUGACCUCGACAAAUACGAGAAGGUGCUUCCUAGGAGCAUGCGCACCUUCCUCUAA